UACGGAGGGUGCGAACGUUAAUCGGAAUCACUGGGCGUAAAGCGCGCGUAGGCGGUUCGUUAAGUGGGAUGUGAAAUCCCCGGGCUUAACCUGGGAAUUGCAUUUCAAACUGGCCGACUAGAGUACGGUAGAGGGAGGUAGAAUUUCCUGUGUAGCGGUGAAAUGCGUAGAUAUAGGAAGGAAUACCAGUGGCGAAGGCGGCCUCCUGGAUCGAUACUGACGCUGAGGCGCGAAAGCGUGGGGAGCAAGCAGG
This 253-nucleotide ribosomal RNA is filed under the name uncultured bacterium. Its description in RNAcentral is "partial 16S ribosomal RNA". It matches the Rfam family "Bacterial small subunit ribosomal RNA", at positions 524 to 776 of the family's 1533-position model. The record is from RNAcentral.